GACUCCGUGGCCAAGCUGGCUAAGGCGUAAGACUGUUAGUAUUCUAACUGUCAUCUUAAGAUCGUGAGUUCGAUCCUCACCGGGGUCG
Transfer RNA from Tortispora caseinolytica NRRL Y-17796, 88 nucleotides. It matches the Rfam family "tRNA". From Rfam's summary of the family: Transfer RNA (tRNA) molecules are approximately 80 nucleotides in length. Their secondary structure includes four short double-helical elements and three loops (D, anti-codon, and T loops). The record is from Rfam. NCBI's taxonomy places the organism in Eukaryota, Fungi, Ascomycota, Trigonopsidomycetes, Trigonopsidales, Trigonopsidaceae.